RNAcentral lists this long non-coding RNA (1194 nucleotides) under Lupinus angustifolius (narrow-leaved blue lupine). RNAcentral describes it as "long non-coding RNA (LANG_LNC002492)". The record is from RNAcentral. Lineage: Eukaryota; Viridiplantae; Streptophyta; Magnoliopsida; Fabales; Fabaceae.
UCUAUUGGAUCUGGGUCAAUAUUUCGAUUUCUAGUAGCGACGGUUGUUAAAAAUCACAACCACACAACCCGAAAAAGAUUAGUUUCUUUCGGGUGAAAGGAUACCCUUAGUAACCACCAAAAAUGUAAUUCUAAAUCUUUGAUAAAAUAGAUAUGAUAUUUCCAAUGCAUACUAAAACUACAAUUGUACCCUCAAUAUUUCAGUUUCAAGAUAUAUUCCUGCAUUCCAUAUUAACAACAUGAUCUAAAGAAAAUCAACAUAUUAAAAGGGUAUAAAUUAUUAUGCUAAAAUAAUAAGAGAAAAAAAAAUACAUACCAAUGUACAUAAUAAUAAGUUGAUAUAACAUAAUAGAAGGGUAUGUUAAUUGCUAACAGAACCAGAAAUAAAAAAAAAUAUACCAACGCAGAUAAACAUUAACACUAAAAAAUUCCAUUAACAUUCUCUAGUAAAUGAAAAUGCAGAUAAAGUAUAACAAUUUAACAUGUAUACAUUGAUAAGAUAAAUGUAAAUAAAGUAUAAAAAUUUACAUUGUCAACAUUCAUGUGUUACCCAAUAUCAACUCUCAAACAAAAGUAACACAGAUCAACGGUAGAUAAUGUGCCGAAUGCCGACACUAUAAAACGACAGUGCAUAGAUUUCAAACUCAAAUUAUAAACAAUUUGAAGAAAAAAUCUUAGUAAUUUUAGAAAAAAUGAAUCAAAUAAUGGGUAUUGAAGGAUCAGAAAGAAGGGUUAUGAUCAAUGAAAGUGACAGUGAUAGAAGUAUUAAUGUAAGGGAGAAGUCUAAAAUGCAAUUCAAUACUAGAAUGCAUUCCCACGCCUUUUCUUACAACCCCAUUUCAUUCAAAAUUAAGCCAUUAUUUCAAUAAUAAAAAAUCAAAAAAUAGCUUAAUUAAAAAUCACUUUUUUAUAUAGAAGAAGUUGCGAGAGUCACAAUGCAAUAACUUUAGCAUAUGACAGGGGCCAUCUUCAUUAUUAUUAAGAACACAAACACUUCAUUUUCACUGUCAUAUUACUCAGACCUUUUACAAAUACCAUCAUUUCCUUCAUACCCUUUUGUUUCUAUUAAUUGAAUCAUAUGAAAAAAUUGAAAAUUGAAACGAAAGUAAUAGGAAAAAUUGAAAAUUGAAACGAAAAUAAUAGGGAAAAAAUUGAAAAUUGGAAGGAAAACAAUAUGAACAAAAUGAAAUUGAAG